RNAcentral lists this small nucleolar RNA (68 nucleotides) under Leptobrachium leishanense (Leishan spiny toad). RNAcentral's name for it is "Small nucleolar RNA SNORD123 (ENSLLEG00000005638.1)". It matches the Rfam family "Small nucleolar RNA SNORD123". Lineage: Eukaryota; Metazoa; Chordata; Amphibia; Anura; Megophryidae. The record is from Rfam by way of RNAcentral.
GGUAAAGAGGAUGAGAAUGGGGUACGGACUUUAAAUUCCUGAAAAUGCCAUCCAUUUCCUGAUUUGCC